GUGCCAGCAGCCGCGGUAAUACGGAGGAUGCGAGCGUUAUCCGGAUUUAUUGGGUUUAAAGGGUGCGUAGGCUGUGCGUUAAGUCAGGGGUGAAAUGCCGUCGCUCAACGACGAGCUGCCCUUGAUACUGGCGUGCUGGAGUACGGAUGCCGUUGGAGGAAUGAGUGGUGUAGCGGUGAAAUGCUUAGAUAUCACUCAGAACACCGAUUGCGAAGGCAUCUGACGAAUCCGUCACUGACGCUGAGGCACGAAAGCGUGGGGAUAGAACAGGAUUAGAUACCCUGGUAUUCCACGCCGUAAACGAUGAUGACUAACCGUCGGCGAUAGACAGCCGGUGGCCAAGCGAAAGCGAUAAGUCAUCCACCUGGGGAGUACGUCGGCAACGAUGAAACUCAAAGGAAUUGACGGGGGCCCGCACAAGCGGAGGAACAUGUGGUUUAAUUCGAUGAUACGCGAGGAACCUUACCCGGGCUCGAACGGUGCAGGAAGAGAUCUGGAGACAGUGACGCCCUUCGGGGCCUGCAUCGAGGUGCUGCAUGGUUGUCGUCAGCUCGUGCCGUGAGGUGUCGGCUCAAGUGCCAUAACGAGCGCAACCCUUGUCGUCAGUUGCCAUCAGGUGAAGCUGGGGACUCUGACGAGACUGCCACCGCAAGGUGUGAGGAGGGGGGGGAUGACGUCAAAUCAGCACGGCCCUUACGUCCGGGGCGACACACGUGUUACAAUGGCGGCCACAGAGGGAAGCUACCUGGUGACAGGAUGCGGAUCUCGAAAAGCCGUCUCAGUUCGGACUGGAGUCUGCAACCCGACUCCACGAAGUUGGAUUCGCUAGUAAUCGCGCAUCAGCCAUGGCGCGGUGAAUACGUUCCCGGGCCUUGUACACACCGCCCGU
Molecule: ribosomal RNA, 889 nt
Filed under: uncultured rumen bacterium
Lineage: Bacteria
Description: bacterial SSU rRNA
Rfam family: Bacterial small subunit ribosomal RNA
Source: RNAcentral